Molecule: ribosomal RNA, 688 nt
Filed under: uncultured bacterium
Lineage: Bacteria
Description: bacterial SSU rRNA
Rfam family: Bacterial small subunit ribosomal RNA
Source: RNAcentral
GGGACAACCCGCCGAAAGGCGGGCUAAACCCGCGUACAUGCCACCGGGGCAUCCCGGAGGCAGGAAAGGCUUCGGCCGGACAGGGAUGGGCAUGCGGCGCAUUAGGCAGUAGGCGGGGUAACGGCCCACCUAACCGACGAUGCGUAGGGGUUCUGAGAGGAAGGUCCCCCACACUGGUACUGAGACACGGACCAGACUCCUACGGGAGGCAGCAGUGAGGAAUAUUGGUCAAUGGUCGGGAGACUGAACCAGCCAAGCCGCGUGAGGGAUGAAGGUACAGAGUAUCGUAAACCUCUUUUGUCAGGGAACAAAGGCGGGGACGUGUCCCCGGAUGAGUGUACCUGAAGAAAAAGCAUCGGCUAACUCCGUGCCAGCAGCCGCGGUAAUACGGAGGAUGCGAGCGUUAUCCGGAUUUAUUGGGUUUAAAGGGUGCGCAGGCGGUCUGUUAAGUCAGCGGUCAAAGCCCGGGGCUCAACCCCGGCCCGCCGUUGAAACUGGCAGUCUCGAGUUGGAGAGAAGUAUGCGGAAUGCGCGGUGUAGCGGUGAAAUGCAUAGAUAUCGCGCAGAACUCCGAUUGCGAAGGCAGCAUGCCGGCUCCACACUGACGCUGAGGCACGAAAGCGUGGGUAUCGAACAGGAUUAGAUACCCUGGUAGUCCACGCAGUAAACGAUGAAUAAAGGCUGUCCG